Molecule: ribosomal RNA, 394 nt
Filed under: uncultured soil bacterium
Lineage: Bacteria
Description: bacterial SSU rRNA
Rfam family: Bacterial small subunit ribosomal RNA
Source: RNAcentral
AGAUUGAACGCUGGCGGCAUGCCUUACACAUGCAAGUCGAACGGCAGCACGGGGGCAACCCUGGUGGCGAGUGGCGAACGGGUGAGUAACAUAUCGGAACGUGCCCUGGAGUGGGGGAUAACUAGUCGAAAGACUAGCUAAUACCGCAUACGAUCUACGGAUGAAAGUGGGGGAUCGCAAGACCUCAUGCUCGUGGAGCGGCCGAUAUCUGAUUAGCUAGUUGGUGGGUAAAGCCUACAAGCAUCGAUCAGUAGCUGGUCUGAGAGGACGACCAGCCACACGUGGACUGAGACCACGGCCAGACUCCGUACGGGAGCAGCAGGUGGGUAAUUUGGACAAGUCGGGGGCCAACCGUGACUCCAGACAAUGCCGCGUGAGUAGAAGGACGUCCGUU